This is an RNA transcript of Brassica oleracea var. oleracea, 1692 nucleotides long. RefSeq lists it as uncharacterized. The record is from RefSeq and is a predicted model, not a curated record. Lineage: Eukaryota; Viridiplantae; Streptophyta; Magnoliopsida; Brassicales; Brassicaceae. The transcript has 5 exons.
GAUUUACCUUUUAAGGACUAAAUUCCGCAAAAAUUCUCUCAGCCGCCCUCUCCUUCCUUCCAACGAUAAGACACAGAGGCGGAGGAACGAUUUCAAUUUUUGUUUUCCUGAUUGUUGAUUGGAUUCUGAUCCAUAUAGUCUCCCAAGGGUCGAUUCCUUCCUUCUUUCUCCAACUGAGUGACAAUGGCUGGCACCAAGGGAUCAGAGAGUGUUAGGAGUUUGAUGAACCCAGGGAAAAGUGCUUUGCUCCCUCCAAAGAUCCCGUUUCCUAGUGGUUUGAUGGGUUCAAGGCACAGCCACAAGGUUAGUGUUGAGAAAGCUCACCAGCGGACAUCCUCUGAGAGCCAUUUGGUAGAAGAAGAGCUUCCCUUUUGGCUUGAUGAUCUUCUCAAUGAGCCUGAGAGCCCUGCUCGCAAGUCUGGUCAUAGGCGUUCGGCAAGCGACUCUUAUGCUUACCUUGACGUGGCUAAUGCUGCUACAACCAUAAGUGAUUUCAGCUAUAGGAAUCCAGCUGCUUCUAUUCAAAGAGGAAUUCAAGAGCUUGAUCCUAGUCAGGACGCUUCCUUUUACGCUGAUGGUAGUUUCCUGAAGCAGAGGAAUCGACCAUCUGGGGCUCGUCCUUCUUGGACUCGAGAGAGUGUUGGUGGUGGGAAACACAUGGGAGCAUCAUCAUAUAUGUCUCAAGAUGCAACAGCAGAAACAAAGAGGUUCUCUUCUGAGGAAAACAACUCCAAUCCUCAGCCUGGGGCGUAUGAGGCUGAUAAUACAAAACGAGCCAAACAGCAAUUUGCACAACGAUCACGGGUACGUAAGCUCCAGUACAUAUCUGAGCUAGAAAGGAAUGUACAAACAUUGCAGGCAGAAGGCUCCAAAGUUUCAGCUGAGCUUGAUUUUCUCAACCAGAGGAAUCUUAUUCUGAGUUUGGAAAAUAAAGCUCUUAAGCACCGCCUUGAAAGUAUAGCUCAGGAGAAGCUUAUCAAACAACGUUAGUUUCUUCUCCAAAAAAAUGUUCUUCUAUCUUCUUUUAGAGACCUGAAGUAUGAAUUUUCAAGUAGUAGCUGGUCAUCAAGAUUGAACAUUACUGGAACAAGAGGUGCUGGAAAGGGAGAUUGGAAGACUACGAGCUCUGCAUCAACAACAACAGCAUACUCGUCAACAAUCAGCAAGUCACAAACGUGCAAGUAGCAAAGAUCUGGACUCUCAAUUCUCGACUCUUUCCCUGAACGCUAAAGAUUCCAACUGCAGGCGUGACUCUUUAUCUGUGAUGGGUCAGUUCCACUUUUAGUCAGUGUAUCUGAGUGUCUCUCUACCCACGGGUUCAUUAGCUCUAAGAGGGCAUGCCGUUUCAACAAGAUCAGGCCCUACUCUAUUGUCUCGUAAUGCUCCCUCACUUUUUUUUAUGGUCUAGUGCACCUGGUUUCCAUUACCUGAAAACCUAUAUUACUUCCAGCAUAUGGCUUGCCUGAGGUGCUUUAGUUUGAAGAUCAUACACCUGGACUUCAUUAAUCUGGUGUUGUUGUGGUGACUUGUGGUUUGGUAAAAGAUACACUGAUAUGUGGAGUUGUACUGUUUAUUUGUUUGUAUUUUAUGUAACUGGUCAAAUGGUGCAUUCCCGUGGAGUGAAUGGUUCAUGUAAAGUUGAUGACUUUGUAAACUUCCCCCAAGUGUGAGGAUAAUUUGAUUGCUUGAGAA